GCGGGAGUGCUGGAAUUGGCAGACAGGCUAGACUAAGGAUCUAGUGGUUGUAUGAUCGUGUGGGUUCAAGUCCCAUCUCCCGCACUA
Molecule: transfer RNA, 87 nt
Filed under: Clostridiales bacterium 1_7_47FAA
Lineage: Bacteria; Bacillati; Bacillota; Clostridia; Eubacteriales
Also listed under: 1 other name
Description: tRNA-Leu
Rfam family: tRNA
About the family: Transfer RNA (tRNA) molecules are approximately 80 nucleotides in length. Their secondary structure includes four short double-helical elements and three loops (D, anti-codon, and T loops).
Source: RNAcentral